GGACGAACGCUGGCGGCGUGCUUAACACAUGCAAGUCGAGCGGUAAGGCCCUUUCGGGGGUACACGAGCGGCGAACGGGUGAGUAACACGUGGGUGACCUGCCCUCAGCUCUGGGAUAAGCCUGGGGAAACCGGGGUCUAAGUACCGGAUAUGACUCCAUGACGCAUGGUUGUGGGGGUGGAAAGCCUUGUGCGGCUGAGGAUGGGCCCGCGGCCUAUCAGCUUGUUGGUGGGGUGAUGGCCUACCAAGGCGACGACGGGUAGCCGGCCUGAGAGGGCGACCGGCCACACUGGGACUGAGACACGGCCCAGACCUCCUACGGGAGGGCAGCAGGUGGGGAAUCUUGCGCAAUGGGCGAAAGCCUGACGCAGCGACGCCGCGUGA
RNAcentral lists this ribosomal RNA (384 nucleotides) under uncultured bacterium. RNAcentral describes it as "bacterial SSU rRNA". It matches the Rfam family "Bacterial small subunit ribosomal RNA", at positions 27 to 404 of the family's 1533-position model. The record is from RNAcentral.